Molecule: ribosomal RNA, 301 nt
Filed under: uncultured bacterium
Lineage: Bacteria
Description: partial 16S ribosomal RNA
Rfam family: Bacterial small subunit ribosomal RNA
Source: RNAcentral
CAGUAGCCGCGGUAACACGUAGGGUGCGAGCGUUAAUCGGAAUUACUGGGCGUAAAGCGUGCGCAGGCGGUUCGUUAAGACAGAUGUGAAAUCCCCGGGCUUAACCUGGGAACUGCAUUUGUGACUGGCGAGCUAGAGUAUGGCAGAGGGGGGUAGAAUUCCACGUGUAGCAGUGAAAUGCGUAGAGAUGUGGAGGAAUACCGAUGGCGAAGGCAGCCCCCUGGGCCAAUACUGACGCUCAUGCACGAAAGCGUGGGGAGCAAACAGGAUUAGAUACCCGAGUAGUCCCUGUCUCUUAUAC